CCUACGGGCGGCUGCAGUGAGGAAUAUUGGUCAAUGGACGAGAGUCUGAACCAGCCAAGUAGCGUGAAGGAUGACUGCUCUAUGGUUUGUAAACUUCUUUUAUAUGGGAAUAAAGUGAGGCACGUGUGCCUUUUUGUAUGUACCAUAUGAAUAAGCAUCGGCUAACUCCGUGCCAGCAGCCGCGGUAAUACGGAGGAUCCGAGCGUUAUCCGGAUUUAUUGGGUUUAAAGGGAGCGUAGGUGGGUAGUUAAGUCAGUUGUGAAAGUUUGUGGCUCAACCGUAAAAUUGCAGUUGAAACUGGUAGUCUUGAGUAUAUUAGAGGUAGGCGGAAUGCGUGGUGUAGCGGUGAAAUGCUUAGAUAUCACGAAGAACUCCGAUUGCGAAGGCAGCUUACUAAACUGUAACUGACACUGAGGCGCGAAAGUGUGGGGAUCAAACAGGAUUAGAGACCCCAGUAGUC
Molecule: ribosomal RNA, 460 nt
Filed under: uncultured bacterium
Lineage: Bacteria
Description: partial 16S ribosomal RNA
Rfam family: Bacterial small subunit ribosomal RNA
Source: RNAcentral